This 478-nucleotide ribosomal RNA is filed under the name uncultured bacterium. RNAcentral's name for it is "partial 16S ribosomal RNA". It matches the Rfam family "Bacterial small subunit ribosomal RNA", at positions 28 to 507 of the family's 1533-position model. The record is from RNAcentral.
GAUGAACGCUGGCGGCGUGCUUAACACAUGCAAGUCGAACGAGAAAUGUAGACGGAAACCUUCGGGCGGAAGCCUUCAUUUCGAGUGGCGGACGGGUGAGUAACGCGUGGGUAACCUGCCUCAUACAGGGGGAUAACAGUUGGAAACGACUGUUAAUACCGCAUAAGACCACAGCAUCGCAUGAUGCGGGGGUAAAAACUCCGGUGGUAUGAGAUGGACCCGCGUUCGAUUGGCCAGUUGGCGGGGUAACGGCCCACCAAAGCGACGAUCGAUAGCCGAUCUGAGAGGAUGACCGGCCACAUUGGGACUGAGACACGGCCCAAACUCCUACGGGAAGCAGCAGUGGGGAAUAUUGCACAAUGGGGGAAACCCUGAUGCAGCGACGCCGCGUGAGUGAAGAAGUACUUCGGUAUGUAAAGCUCUAUCAGCAGGGAAGAAAAUGACGGUACCUGAGGAAGAAGCCCCGGCUAACUACGUG